UGGGGAAUAUUGCGCUAAUGCGCGAAAGCGUGACGCAGCGACGCCGCGUGCGGGAUGAAGGCCCUCGGGUCGUAAACCGCUUUCGCCAGGGACGAAGGGAAACUGACGGUACCUGGAGAAGAAGUCCCGGCUAACUACGUGCCAGCAGCCGCGGUAACACGUAGGGGACGAGCGUUGUCCGGAAUCAUUGGGCGUAAAGCGCGCGUAGGCGGCCCGGAAAGUCGGAUGUGAAAUCCCGGGGCUCAACCCCGGGCCUGCACCCGAUACUCCCGGGCUGGAGGCAGGUAGGGGAGAUCGGAAUUCCUGGUGUAGCGGUGAAAUGCGCAGAUAUCAGGAGGAACACCGGUGGCGAAGGCGGAUCUCUGGGCCUUGCCUGACGCUGAGGCGCGAAAGCUAGGGGAGCGAACAG
Molecule: ribosomal RNA, 409 nt
Filed under: uncultured bacterium
Lineage: Bacteria
Description: bacterial SSU rRNA
Rfam family: Bacterial small subunit ribosomal RNA
Source: RNAcentral